UUGCAUGUAUUGUUUGGGGCCCAUCUAAUACCUGACUAUGCGUUUAUGGUUGGUCCCGGCUGCAACCUUCACUCUUCUUCUUCUCCUUGGCUCUUCGUCUCCUCGAAACUCAGACCCCCACAUCUGUAACGCAUCCGCUUCCGUAUUAAACCUUCCUUUCAAUCUCAGUUAAGUCGACCCCCACAUCUCCACUACGUUUCUUUACUUCACAACAUCCGUCCUCUUCAGUUUCGUCGCGAUUUUGAACCUAUAAAUAGGCAUCUUCGUCUUUGUGGUUUCCACAGAUUCAUCGCUCCUCUCUACUCAAAAAUCAGAGACACUCAUACAUGAACGAUUGCCGCUUCCCAGAUCUCUGUUUCCGGGAUGAAGCAAGUAUCGGAGGAGGAGCCUCACUUGAGAUCAAAGAGAAGGAAGAAACUUCAUCAAUGCGUCAAAGUCUCUGAUCUAAGAAGAAUUGCAGGUGGUUCACAGAAGAAAGGUGUAUGCUUGGGUUCUCACUGAUCAUCUAACAUUGCUGAAUGGAGUUUUAUCCUAGGCAAAAGUGGUACAAUAAAAGAUUUCACACAGCCUCCAAGGUGAUAACGAAAGUAUCAAUAACAAGAUAUGGGAAAUCGCAAAACAUACAAAAAGCAGUGAAAACAUUUCAUCUCUCCAAUUGAGAAGGGGAUGUUCCUACAUCUCUGUGUAUAUAUUGAUUAAACUUUUGAUAAAAUCUUUUUUCGUGUCUUACGUUUCAUCUGUGGUUACCUUUGACAGAUUGUCUCGGUCCAGUGUCUCCCAUGUAUGACAUUCAUUAUCCCGUCAGCAACGACCAUAAUACUUGACAGGAAGAAGCUACGGAGGACAAAGACACUCUGAUUAGCUUAGCUAAGCAAACAUACUGGAACUUUGUGGGACAACUCAAGAAGCAUUCUGUCAUCACAGAAUCCAGAUUUGGGGUGUGCAUACCCAUGUGGAUCAACACAAUUCCUACAUACGAGAUUUUACUGGGAAAGGGAACUUCUUUUGAUUUCAAUAAUGUUAGGACCAUUCUUUUCUCUUCGAUUGAGAUAAAGUUCCUAAAAUAGCUGAUCUCACGAAUCAGAAGAUGAUUGAAAGCUAUCCAUAUCCUGUAAGAAACAAAAUAUAUUUUUGUUAUGGACCAUACACUAAUACAAGCUGUGAAACACAGUAACCCAAGCAUUAAAAUUAAUAAUGAUAUCAUAAUAUAUUUCACUUUGAACAA
Raphanus sativus (radish) is the source of this 1225-nucleotide long non-coding RNA. RefSeq lists it as uncharacterized. The record is from RefSeq and is a predicted model, not a curated record. The transcript is spliced from 3 exons. NCBI's taxonomy places the organism in Eukaryota, Viridiplantae, Streptophyta, Magnoliopsida, Brassicales, Brassicaceae.